This is a non-coding RNA of Vicia faba (fava bean), 315 nucleotides long. Lineage: Eukaryota; Viridiplantae; Streptophyta; Magnoliopsida; Fabales; Fabaceae. The record is from the annotation of a GenBank genome assembly.
AUGUCACCUCGUCCGAAUAAAAGUAAGGAUAAGAAAGCCUGUCGCACGAGGAUACAUGUAGUUGAGGUGCCUUCAAAUUCCAUGUAUUGUCCUUUGCCUCAGUCUAAUCAGGGGCUCAACAGACUACGCCUCAAUCUGGUCAGGGGCUCAGCAAACUACAUCAGGGGCUCAGCAAACUACACCUCAAUCUGGUCAGGAUGCUCCACUAGGAUUUUUUUAUACCCACACCAUUUCAUCCAGACAUACCCCACCAUACAUGCAGUCUGGGGAUCUUGCAUCCCAUAUCCUCCACCUGGACCCUCAUCAGUCUAUUAG